RNAcentral lists this microRNA (22 nucleotides) under Drosophila virilis. RNAcentral's name for it is "dvi-miR-1017-3p". Lineage: Eukaryota; Metazoa; Arthropoda; Insecta; Diptera; Drosophilidae. The record is from miRBase by way of RNAcentral.
GAAAGCUCUACCCAAACUCACU